Molecule: ribosomal RNA, 483 nt
Filed under: uncultured bacterium
Lineage: Bacteria
Description: partial 16S ribosomal RNA
Rfam family: Bacterial small subunit ribosomal RNA
Source: RNAcentral
AUUGAACGCUGGCGGCAUGCUUUACACAUGCAAGUCGAACGGCAGCGCGGGCUUCGGCCUGGCGGCGAGUGGCGAACGGGUGAGUAAUGCAUCGGAACGUGCCCAGUAGUGGGGGAUAGCCCGGCGAAAGCCGGAUUAAUACCGCAUACGACCUGAGGGUGAAAGCGGGGGACCGAAAGGCCUCGCGCUAUUUGAGCGGCCGAUUUCGGAUUAGCUAGUUGGUGGGGGUAAGGCUUACCAAGCCGACGAUCCGUAGCUGGUCUGAGAGGACGACCAGCCACACUGGAACUGAGAAACGGCCAGAACUCCUACGGGAGGCACCAGUGGGGAAUUUUGGACAAUGGGGGCAGCCAUAUUCCAGCCAUGCCGCGUGCGGGAAGAGGGCCUCGGGUUGUAAACCGCUUUUGUUCGGGAAGAAAUCCUCUGGGCUAAUACCCCGGGGGGAUGACGGUACCGGAAGAAUAAGCACCGGCUAACUACGUG